This is a long non-coding RNA of Zea mays, 981 nucleotides long. RefSeq lists it as uncharacterized. NCBI's taxonomy places the organism in Eukaryota, Viridiplantae, Streptophyta, Magnoliopsida, Poales, Poaceae. The record is from RefSeq and is a predicted model, not a curated record. The transcript is spliced from 3 exons.
CAGACAUCAACCAGUGAAGUUCAUCGAUUCACUCCAUCGAACAGCCGCCAGUGUCGUUCACCUCGCCACUCAUCCUCAGUCUCUUGAACCCAGCCAUCCCUGCUGCUCGCUUCCCUCUCUUCCUCCCUGCUCGCCUCGACGAAGCCAAGUCUGGCCAUCACCUUCCUAGCCUCGCGCGCUUUCUCCCUGCGCAGGACGCCACCGAUCCUGCUCCAUCCCGGACGUCGUGGUCUCCGACCUCGAGCACCCAGCUCGCUCCCUCCCUAGCAACAACUCCUAGCGCUUGGCCUUCCUCUACGCGAGCGCUUAGAGCUGUGCCUAUCGUGUGCUGGUCUCAGCUAAGCACCGUCUGCUCCAGCGUCACUCGCCCCCUGGCCACCGGUUCGUCCUCAGUCCACCCCUGCCUGCUCGGCUCAGCGUGGAGGCUGGCCAUCGGACGCCACCAUCUUGUGCCAAGUUCCAGGCAAUUCUUCCCCUGAAGUCCGGCACUAGCUAUGGUGGUCGGCGUUCGCUCAGACCGAGCUCUGGCCUCCGGCUAGACUCGCCAGCCACGCUAGCUCUGCGUCCACCUCGUCAUGGGCUCUUCGGCAACUCUGUCCAAGUAACAGCACCAGCCUCCCUGGGCUCGUCUCCUCGUCCAGCGCCCCUCGUUCCUCGACCUCGCUGCGUGGCAUCGCAAUCGGCUGCUAACUCCUGUCGCCAAGCAAGCUACCAGUCCAUGCACGCCGUCGUCUAGUCCCUGCUCCCUUCAAGGCCAUUGUCUUCCACCACCCGACUAUCAUCUCCAUGGGUGCUAGUCGUCCUCCUCAAGCUCCGUCAUGGCGUCAUGGUGCUUGACUGCACUCCACUAUCUCACAGCACUGGCUGUAGACCUUGUUGGCCCUCCCCACGUUGAAUCAGCAAGCUCCGCCAUCGUCACUCAGCUACACGCCUCCACCUCGACAACGAGCAGUCCGAGUUUCCUGAGUGUGUUGUUGGAGA